This 67-nucleotide transfer RNA is filed under the name Nevromus exterior. RNAcentral describes it as "tRNA-Ser". The record is from RNAcentral. Lineage: Eukaryota; Metazoa; Arthropoda; Insecta; Megaloptera; Corydalidae.
AAUUAAUGAACUUGAAUAAGUAUAUGCUUUGAAAGCAUAAUAAAGAAGUAAAAUCUUCUAUUAAUUU